Long non-coding RNA from Hermetia illucens (black soldier fly), 664 nucleotides. RefSeq lists it as uncharacterized. Lineage: Eukaryota; Metazoa; Arthropoda; Insecta; Diptera; Stratiomyidae. The transcript is spliced from 3 exons. The record is from RefSeq and is a predicted model, not a curated record.
CCGACAAACCUCAUUGUGAAUUUUUUCGAGAUCGCUGAUCAUCCAAGUACGUAAGCCGUGUAUAUGGCAUUGUCAAUGCGGUUAUACACAUACAUACGCACGUAGAGUUAUUGACUUGCUAGAUUCUCCGUAUCUUUAAUACUGUGGGAAUGUGAAGAUCAAGAUUAUCAUCAAAUGCAUUAUAUUUCAAUUCAAAACAAUUCCAUGUAGCAUCGGAGAAUCAGAAAUAGCUAUGGUGCAGUAAAGCAGUCGACGCUAAUGGCAAAAUACCAGCAAAUUCAGAUUUUGGACAGCACAAAGAAAAAAAAAUCAAGCAUUGGUAAUGCUCCCAACGACAUGACCAGCACCAAGAUGAACAGCCACAUUAAGCCCUUCAACUUGGUAGUGUUUUGAACUAUCGUAUUUUUCCAAUCCCAGCUAUAUUCUCAAGAUCCCAGACUCUACGAAAAGGACCAUAUCUGUUCUCCAGAAAAUUGAGAGAGGUAUGUGCUCCCUCAAACGUCAUCCUCUUCAGCCGAGAAAGAACUUUAAGUUGUUCGUUCUAAUGGUGGCUAUAAGUCUUCUUGUUUUAACAUUUUACGUUUUUCCCUGACUACACAAAAAUGUUGUCUAAAGCUACAUAUUGUGUUUCUCCGGGGAGACCUCCAGCUCUCCUAAAACUUCG